CACCUCUCGUCCACAAACGUCCCUUCUCCUCUUUUCGCACGAGUUCGUCCUAUCCUUGUCGCUCUCAAUCCUCUCUUCCUACCUUUGCGUCUUCGCACCUCCUUCUUUCGUCUUACCGCCGUUUAACCCUAUCCCUACCCAUUCUUCCUGGUUUCAAGCAUCAGCGCAUCAAACGUUCAAUUUCCGCUUCUGAGCUUUACGCGAGCGUGCAAGUCGAAUAUUUAAUUUCCUCUUUAAUUUUGAAUAAUUUCACUGGCAGAUCACACACCAUCAUCCGGAGAAAACAGAGCAACCGAUUGCGAGCCAACAGAAAAUCGUACGACCGGCCAGAGGUUCGCACACGGCACAUGUGACCUGCUUCGAGCGUAAAACAUUAAAAUACAAGUCGGAUUCUCUUCGACAAGGAAAAAAGAGGAGGCCUCUUCAGUUUAGGUUACACAUAAGCGUAGAACGACGAAAUACAAAUUCCUGGACAAAACUCACGGUUUUCGUGCCAACUGUUACAUUAAUUCCCGCCCACGUCGUGUUUCUUCUACUAUCUAGAAGUUGAAGCAGUUUGUCGUUGAAUUCAUUAAAUUGCAAUCUCGUCUCCGUCCAG
This 598-nucleotide unclassified non-coding RNA is filed under the name Bombus terrestris (buff-tailed bumblebee). Its description in RNAcentral is "misc RNA ENSBTSG00005032990.1". Lineage: Eukaryota; Metazoa; Arthropoda; Insecta; Hymenoptera; Apidae. The record is from RNAcentral.